RNAcentral lists this ribosomal RNA (609 nucleotides) under uncultured Filobasidiales. RNAcentral's name for it is "eukaryotic LSU rRNA". The stretch from base 174 to 327 matches the Rfam family "5.8S ribosomal RNA". The record is from RNAcentral. Lineage: Eukaryota; Fungi; Basidiomycota; Tremellomycetes.
GACUGCGGAGGAUCAUUAAUGAUUGACCGUCUGUCGAGCUUGCUCACAGGCACAUCAUAUCCAUAACACCUGUGCACUUGUCGGAUGGCUUAGUGAAGACCGCAAGGUUGGAUCUAUCCAUCUACUUUACAUAACAAUUCUGUAACAAAUGUAGUCUUAUUAUAACAUAAUAAAACUUUCAACAACGGAUCUCUUGGCUCUCGCAUCGAUGAAGAACGCAGCGAAAUGCGAUAAGUAAUGUGAAUUGCAGAACUCAGUGAAUCAUCGAAUCUUUGAACGCACCUUGCGCUCCUUGGUAUUCCGAGGAGCAUGCCUGUUUGAGUGUCAUGAAAACCCUCAACCCUAGAUUGGUUAAUACCUUUCUUUGGUUUGGAUUUGGACGUUUGCCGAUGAUAAGUCGGCUCGUCUUAAAAGUAAUAGCUGGAUCUGUCUCGCGACAUGGUUUGACUUGGCGUAAUAAGUAUUUCGCUAAGGACAUCUUCGGAUGGCCGCGUUGCAGGGCUAAAGACCGCUUUCUAAUCCAUUGAUCUUCGGAUUAAUACUCUUGACAUCUGGCCUCAAAUCAGGUAGGACUACCCGCUGAACUUAAGCAUAUCAAUAAGCGGAGGA